Paramuricea clavata is the source of this 428-nucleotide non-coding RNA. The record is from the annotation of a GenBank genome assembly. NCBI's taxonomy places the organism in Eukaryota, Metazoa, Cnidaria, Anthozoa, Malacalcyonacea, Plexauridae.
AGCGUAUGACGAUAUCAUUACGAAUAUCGAACAAAUAGACCAAGGUUGUCACGAAAAACUGGCAUAUCUCCCGCUAAUUAUGUCGAAAUACGAUAAAAUUAUGGACAACUAUACGGCCACACAAUGAACAGUCAAAUAAUUCGCGUCCUGCGCGUGUUAAUUUGAAUUUUGCACGUUUCUGAUAAACAUAUUUUGACAACUUUUCCAUGUCAAUGUAGCCUGCGAACAGGCUCUCAAGCUGAAUUGAGAGCCUGCAUCGAUGAUUAAUGAAUUUGAAUAUCUGCCCCGUAACGUUCGUUUUUCCAAAUAUGGAAUGUCUAUCCUUAUAUGGUGUUGUUUACAACUUUCAUGCAAACUAAAUUUAGACCGUGCAAACUAAAUUUAGACCGUACAGUUUAUACUGUUUUUCGAAAUAUAAGAUAUUCAAG